This 253-nucleotide ribosomal RNA is filed under the name uncultured bacterium. RNAcentral describes it as "partial 16S ribosomal RNA". It matches the Rfam family "Bacterial small subunit ribosomal RNA", at positions 524 to 776 of the family's 1533-position model. The record is from RNAcentral.
UACGGAGGGUGCGAGCGUUGUCCGGAAUCACUGGGCGUAAAGGGCGCGUAGGCGGCGCGGUAAGCGUGCGGUGAAAGUCCGGGGCUCAACCCCGGAUCGGCCGUGCGGACUGCCGCGCUCGAGCACUGUAGGGGCGGGUGGAACUCCGGGAGUAGCGGUGGAAUGCGUAGAGAUCCGGAAGAACACCGGUGGCGAAGGCGGCCCGCUGGGCAGUGGCUGACGCUGAGGCGCGACAGCGUGGGGAGCAAACAGG